RNAcentral lists this ribosomal RNA (253 nucleotides) under uncultured bacterium. RNAcentral describes it as "partial 16S ribosomal RNA". It matches the Rfam family "Bacterial small subunit ribosomal RNA", at positions 524 to 776 of the family's 1533-position model. The record is from RNAcentral.
UACGUAGGGUCCGAGCGUUGUCCGGAGUGACUGGGCGUAAAGCGCGCGCAGGCGGCCCGCGAGGUGUCCUGUGAAAGCCCCGUGCUCAACGCGGGAGGGUCAGGGCAAACCGGCGGGCUUGAGGCCGGUAGAGGUGGGUGGAACUCCUGGUGGAGUGGUGAAAUGCGUAGAGAUCAGGAAGAACACCCGUGGCGAAGGCGGCCCACUGGGCCGGUACUGACGCUGAGGCGCGAAGGCGUGGGGAGCGAACGGG